AGUAAUUUGUGCUCAUUCAAUGACAUAACACUGUGGAUUUUCAAUAUUUAUUGGAUGUUCAUAUAAUACCACAACUGGUCACCAUCAAGCAUAUUGAACUAAGAUAUGAUUCAAGGCUUUACCACUUAACGGCUUAACAACUUAAACCAUGAAUCAACACAAAAUAGACAAAAGUUGUGACAAGAUUUAGGGAUCCGCAGUGCCCUUUACACAGUACAUCAAAGACUCUCUUAAAGGUCCUGGCUUUCCAACAGUGACGUAACACAAGAAUGGUACCCAAGAAUAUGUACUGUAUAUGUGUAGACACUUUUUAAAACUCCAGAUAUCCUUGUGACAGAAAGGGGCAGGAAUGUGGUGAGUAGAGUGGCCUGUAAUUUCCCUAAACAAUUUUGCAUAACUGACAUCUGAGCUUGAACGUUUGGAUGGCCUAAGCCAAAGAACACUUUUGAAGUUGCAGGAGGAUACAUUUGAAUGGGUGGCUAAAGAGUUAGAUAAUAUCAACAAGACCACACUGCACUCAAUAGAAGCAUAAUGUUAUAAGAGAAGUGCUGACCUUGCGGGUGGUCUUCAGUUUGCCGGCUGUCGGGAUCCCGGCGCACAGUAUAUCAGCGCCGGCAUACCGACACUUUUUCUCCCUCUUGGGGGUCCACGACCCCCCUGGAGGGAGAAUAAAUAGCGCACCGUGCCCGCAGCGUGGCAAGCGCAGCAAGCCUGCAAGGGGCUCAUUUGCACUCGCCCAGCUGUCGGUAUGCCGGCGGUCGGGAUUCCGGUGUUGGUAUGCUGGUUGCCACCGGCAUACCCUACUACACCCGACUUUGCCAGAAGCAGAUCUGACUGGUGUUAUGGCAGUAAAGCAGGAUGACGCCUGGUACAUGGUGAUCAAGAGAAAAAUAGGCCAGGAAAUAAGACAAAAUCCACUAUACAGAAGUGAGACAGACCGGAGUGCAGGAGACAAGCCAGAGUUCAGUACUCAGUACUCAAGAAAAACAGAUUGGAAAACAAGCAAAGGGUCAGUACUGUAAUUAUAAUUCUGAUAGCACUGGCCAGGUUGCACAGAUAUCAGCUUCUGAUACUGAUACCCUGGAUUGUGACUGACACUGGAUCGUUAGGACUGAGGUGCAAUAGACUUAAGAUGUAUUUAUUUAUUUAUACCCCAUACUGUAUUCGGGGGAGACCACAGUCCGUUUUUUACUAUUAUUUAUAGAAUGUGUUACA
This is a long non-coding RNA of Pseudophryne corroboree (corroboree frog), 1215 nucleotides long. RefSeq lists it as uncharacterized. NCBI's taxonomy places the organism in Eukaryota, Metazoa, Chordata, Amphibia, Anura, Myobatrachidae. The transcript is spliced from 3 exons. The record is from RefSeq and is a predicted model, not a curated record.